RNAcentral lists this ribosomal RNA (420 nucleotides) under Fusobacteriota bacterium. Its description in RNAcentral is "Fusobacteria bacterium partial 16S ribosomal RNA". It matches the Rfam family "Bacterial small subunit ribosomal RNA", at positions 355 to 776 of the family's 1533-position model. Lineage: Bacteria; Fusobacteriati; Fusobacteriota. The record is from RNAcentral.
UGGGGGAUAUUGCACAAUGGGCGAAAGCCUGAUGCAGCGACGCCGCGUGGGGGAUGUAGGCCUUCGGGUUGUAAACUUCUUUUGCUCUGAACAAGGCAUGCCUUUGGGGUGUGUUGAGUGUAGGGGUUGAUUAGCGCCGGCUAACUACGUGCCAGCAGCCGCGGUAAUACGUAGGGCGCGAGCGUUGUCCGGAAUUAUUGGGCGUAAAGGGCUUGUAGGUGGCUGGUUGCGUCUGUCGUGAAAGCUCAUGGCUUAACUGUGGGUUUGCGGUGGGUACGGGCUGGCUUGAGUGCAGUAGGGGAGGCUGGAAUUCCUGGUGUAGCGGUGGAAUGCGCAGAUAUCAGGAGGAAUACCGGUGGCGAAGGCGGGUCUCUGGGCUGUUACUGACGCUGAGGAGCGAAAGCGUGGGGAGCGAACAGG